Molecule: ribosomal RNA, 830 nt
Filed under: Cantharellus cibarius (golden chanterelle)
Lineage: Eukaryota; Fungi; Basidiomycota; Agaricomycetes; Cantharellales; Hydnaceae
Description: eukaryotic LSU rRNA
Rfam family: Eukaryotic large subunit ribosomal RNA
Source: RNAcentral
GAGUGAAGAGGGAAGAGCUCAUCAUUGGAAUCUGGCAGUGUUGCACUGUCCGAGUUGUAGAUGAGGAGUAGUCCGUCUGGACUGCAUGGCGUCCAAGUACAAUAGGCCGUCAGUGGGACAUCAUAGAGGGUGACAAUCCCGUCCUUGACGCUAAUGUGCAAGUCUAUUACGAUGGCUAUCUCAGAGAGUCGAGCAGUUUGGGAUUUGCUGCUUAAACAUGGGAGGUAGAUUCCUUCUAAAGCUAAAUACAGGCGAGAGACCGAUAGAGAACAAGUACCGCAAGGGAAAGAUGAAAUAGCACUCUGUGAAGGGAGUCAAAAGGCGUGAAAUUGUUGCGAGAGAAGCGAUUCAAGUCAGCGUAGCUAGGCCCAUCAAGCGUCUUCGCUUUGGACUAGCUUUGCCAGCGGUCUUGUCCCUUAAAGAGACUUGACUUGUAAUAUGUCCAGCCUGGCGUGCACAGGCAGCCCCUUCUGGGGGGCCAGUGGCAUGGCUGGUGGAAUGGCUUGCAAUCGACCCGUCUUGAAACACGGACCAAGGAGUCUAACAUGUAUGCGAGUAUAAGGGUGGCAAACCCGUAUGCGCAAUGAAAGUGAUUUUCGGUGAUUGAGAAUGGCCUGAUGACCAGACAAGCAAUACAUGUCCCUCGUACGGCCAUUGCCCAAGUUCCGUGGUAGAUCCCACGAACAUGGAGUUGGAGCAUACAUGCUAGGACCCGAAAGAUGGUGAACUAUGCCUGGACAAAGCGAAGCCAAAGGAAACUCUGGUGGAGGCUUGUAGCGAUUCUGACGUGCAAAUCGAUCGUCUGAUCUGGGUAUAGGGGCGAAAGACUA